This is a long non-coding RNA of Hirundo rustica (Barn swallow), 354 nucleotides long. RefSeq lists it as uncharacterized. The record is from RefSeq and is a predicted model, not a curated record. The transcript is spliced from 3 exons. NCBI's taxonomy places the organism in Eukaryota, Metazoa, Chordata, Aves, Passeriformes, Hirundinidae.
AAACCAUGCCAAAGUGCUUUGUGUGCUACUGAUUGUGUAUCUUUAGACAUGGCCCCUCUAAAAGAUUCCAUGAAACAAGUUGUGACUCAAUGGAAUGUGCUAAAAAAUUCAGGAAAAGGGAAGAGAGGAUACCAGGGAGACUUUAAGGAUUAACACACAGUGCUGAAUAUUUGAUUAGCCCAGGAUAACAACAGGGAAAACAAGGCAUCAUUCAAUAAGAAUGAAUUUAUCACAAACUAGCCAUGCUGGAGAAAACCUUAGGCAAAAAAUGUUUUCAUACAAACCAUUCAUUAAACGACUGUGAAUAAUGAAGGAACUAAUAUAGACUGCUGUCUAUUCACAGACAAUUUAGUA